Molecule: non-coding RNA, 1160 nt
Organism: Doryrhamphus excisus (bluestripe pipefish)
Lineage: Eukaryota; Metazoa; Chordata; Actinopteri; Syngnathiformes; Syngnathidae
Source: RefSeq, a predicted model, not a curated record
GUCACCUGUCAGUGUGUUCAGCCCCAAACCGUGGUAAGGGGCGGCCUGACUUGGGCAGAGAAAAAGAACACGGCUGUCGGCUGCUUCCAGUCAACUUUAUUUUCCACUUUCUCGCCACCAGAGAACAGCACACCCAAAAUCCCCGCACUUCCUGGUUCACAGGUCACGCUCUACCCGCCCCACAUAGCUGGCCAAACACAUGCCUGCAACGAUGGUGACGUCACUCUGAAAUGAGCCAAUGAAAUACUUUGUUUACUUGACAAGAGCUGAGAGAACCAUGGCUAGCUCAAAAUGUUCUGUGCGCCCUUGUUGAGUCUCACGGCAGGUGUGCUGAGGCUUGGGACAUUCACUCCGACUGGCUGCCGUGUUGAUGCUUCAGAGCGGGGUGAACGUGUGCUUGAUAUGUUGCUGCAGCUCUGUAUCCGACGAUGCAAAUCCACAUUUGUCGCAGCGUGCCAUCACGGAGGAGCUAAUUGACUGGACCAGGACGGGCGCUUGCGUGCUGUACACCAUGGUGGGGAAGCUUUGAUAGGUGACGGGCUUCAUGUUGAGGGGGUCACCCGGCAGCAGCAGCUCCACCCACUUCCACAGCUUCACAUCACAGUACACAUCAGAUUCUGCUUCUGCUGGAGAAUGAUGCUGUGUAGCAGAAGAGGAGACGAGAAAGACAUGGUGUAAGGUUUUGAUGAUAAACAGAGCAUAGCCCCUCCCCCUACAUUGCUCAUUCUUACGGUCUGAUCCACGCAACCCUCGAUACGUUUGUAAACAAAAGCCUUGACAACACGCUCUUAAGCAGAGUUACUAAAUUAAAUUUAAUAACAUAAAUCUGUAGGGUUUUUCUCCCCACUGGUGGCGUGGGGGGUGUCGACGUUUCCUCUGAUUGCAAAGUGAAGGCCCAACCAGUGAGGCUUUGCCACGACAAGAGGGGUCGCAAAGACGACGCCCCGGUUCGGAGGAAAAAUGCCGAUUCGUCAGGCAGAUAAAUGCCGCUUACGUACCUUUGGUGAAAUUGUGUACUUGUAGGUUAAGAUAAGACGUUUAAAACAUUAUUGCUGGAUGGUUUCCUGGUGCUUGUCAACGCUGCAAAUCGGGGGGUCUUUUCAACGUUAGCUUCGUGUUGCUUAGCUUGACUACUCCGGAAAACAAAAAUAUGCCUUCAA